Molecule: long non-coding RNA, 1096 nt
Organism: Glycine soja
Lineage: Eukaryota; Viridiplantae; Streptophyta; Magnoliopsida; Fabales; Fabaceae
Exons: 4
Source: RefSeq, a predicted model, not a curated record
AACCUGCACGCUUUUUCUGCAUAGUUUCAAUUGCAGAGAGGAAGGAGUUGUAGAGGUCCAGUGUCAUGAAAACUGAUUUGUCUGCUGCUUCCUUGUUGAGUUCUUGCACAGCUUUGAGCAACAUUUUGUUGUGAUCUUUGGAGAUCACGUUCAAAAGGCCAAUGCAGUUCGUACGGAAAGAUAUCACAUUUAACACAGGCAAACACCCAAUUGGCUGUAAUAACCCAACUGCUACCUUUUUUAUCCCUAAGCUGUGAAUGCGUUUAAGAUUUACAGACAUUUGCUUCACAAGGGAUUCCAUGAAGCCUGGGAGGUGAUAACGACAAGCGCAGAGAGACACUUGACAAGGAAGAUAAAUUAAAAAAGGGCAUGGGGGACUUCUUGGACGAAAUGUUAACAAUGAUGAGUCAGACCAAAUCAAAUGUGAGUCAUCUAGUUAGAGGCGUGUUUGGUGAUAAAGCUAUGCAAUUAAAAUGUUUUAUAUAUAUUUUAGUUUAGUGGAUAAAGCUAGACAUAACAUAGUGUCCGCUUUUGUCAAAUACUAUGUAAGUGUGUAGUAUAUAGUUUAUAUACUACACACUGUUAGGAAGAUUAGGGUGGUAUAUCAAUGCAGACAAAGUUGAUUGAGAAGUGGAUUUCGCUGCUGUAUUGUUUGCUCUUUUGCUUGAAAUGCAGGGAAAAUCGAAUGAGAAAAGAGAUCUCAAUUGGUUGUGCUUGUGCGUGAGCUGAUGAAAGAUGCACACUAGUGCAGAAAAAGGAAGCGCCCUCUAUUAUCAUUCGGUGUUCAUUUGCUUGAAGAUACCUCUGGACACCCCGAGAACAAAACUAUUUUGAAACCCGUAUGGUCAAUUCCAAAUGGGAUUCCUACUCUGUCCAAGUCAAUUCCAGCAGAAAGAUCAUCAAGGAAGAAAAGGAUCCUCUUCUAUUUCUUUAUACUUUCAUCAGCUCACGCACAAACACAACCAAUUGAGAUCUCUUUUCUCUUUUCUCAACCAAUUGAGACCUCUUGAUCAAGUAAAAUGUUGUUUUAUAUAUUUUAUCAAUUAUUUAUAGACAGUAACUUUUUUUAAUAUCUUAUAUCAAUUAUUUAUAGUCA